UACGUAGGAGACGAGCGUUGUCCGGAGUUACUGGGCGUAAAGGGCGCGCAGGCGGCCUGUCAGGUGUCUGGUGAAAGCUCCCGGCUUAACUGGGAGAGGUCCAGGCAAACCGUCAGGCUUGAGCGUCGGAGAGGGGCAUGGAAUUCCGGGUGUAGCGGUGGAAUGCGUAGAGAUCCGGAAGAACACCGGUGGCGAAGGCGGCCUGCUGGGCAGUAGCUGACACUGAGGCGCGACAGCGUGGGGAGCAAACAGG
Molecule: ribosomal RNA, 253 nt
Filed under: uncultured bacterium
Lineage: Bacteria
Description: partial 16S ribosomal RNA
Rfam family: Bacterial small subunit ribosomal RNA
Source: RNAcentral